RNAcentral lists this ribosomal RNA (390 nucleotides) under Terebellides sp. XZ6295. RNAcentral's name for it is "partial large subunit ribosomal RNA". It matches the Rfam family "Bacterial large subunit ribosomal RNA", at positions 1928 to 2526 of the family's 2925-position model. The record is from RNAcentral. Lineage: Eukaryota; Metazoa; Annelida; Polychaeta; Terebellida; Trichobranchidae.
CCAGUGCGGUAUCCUGACCGUUCUAAGGUAGCAUAAUAAAUCGCCCUUUAAUUGUGGGCUUGUAUGAACGGACAAACGAAGGCUUGACUGUCUCUAUUAUAAAAAUAAAAAUUGGCCUUUAGGUGAAAAGACCUAAAUUAAAUUAGAGGACAAAAAGACCCCGUAGAGCUUAGGACUUUUUUAAACCCUAUUUUUGCGAGAUACUCAAAAAACUAUUUUAACAAGAAGUUCUUGGCUGGGGCGGCUAUGGAGCAAAUAUCCUCCACAAACAGUAAAAGAUUCAACAAGUCUUAUUUUAUGAUCCUAAAUUAGAUCAAAGAAAACAGCUACCUCGGGGAUAACAGAUUAAUCCCUUUUGAGAGUCCACAUUGACAAAGGGCUUUGGCACCU